CAGAAGAUUGCUUGGAAACUCUCUCCAUAUCAACAUAGCAGCUUUGACAUGCAGGCUCUGAGAGGAUCAACAGGUCCCUACUCAAGGGAAUUCACCAUUCACUGUACGGCGCCCUCAAACUGGAUGAGAAUGAAAUGGGGGCGCCACAACACCCACCACUGAUGAGUUUGUAGUUAAGAAUUUUUUUAAGUGCAAUAAAAAAUGUUUGAUUAUUGUUACAGCAAAUGUGUACAACUUCCUUCGUGACUUUGGAUACCCAGAAAUAUUGGUUGCAUUUUGUUUUAUGUUUGCAAGAGGAUGACUAAUGCUUUUAACACUAACAGUUAAGGCAAGACUUUUUUAUACCUUGUUUAGCGAACCUGCCGACUGCGAAUAUUGAUGAUUUCGAAUAAAAAUAAAAUUUUAUUUU
This is a long non-coding RNA of Anneissia japonica, 409 nucleotides long. RefSeq lists it as uncharacterized. NCBI's taxonomy places the organism in Eukaryota, Metazoa, Echinodermata, Crinoidea, Comatulida, Comatulidae. The record is from RefSeq and is a predicted model, not a curated record. The transcript has 2 exons.